RNAcentral lists this long non-coding RNA (1944 nucleotides) under Heterocephalus glaber (naked mole-rat). Its description in RNAcentral is "lncRNA (ENSHGLG00000039157.1)". The record is from RNAcentral. Lineage: Eukaryota; Metazoa; Chordata; Mammalia; Rodentia; Bathyergidae.
GCUAUAUCUCAUUAAACUAUUGCAAUGGCAUCUUAAUGACACUGUCCUUACCACAGACCUCAGUCUACCCUACCUAUUCUUUUCUUUUUCUACUUGAGCAAACAUUUAUUGAACACCUGUCAAAAGGAAGGCAUGGUGCUAAGUGCUUGGGAAAUACAAAAUGAACACAUGACAGUCCCUUCCCUCAAGGAGCUUCCUGUCUAGAGAGGGAGCUGAAAAAACACAGUGCACAUCAGCUGUGGCAAUACUUGCCAAGAGGCAAGUGUUGAAAGUGAGACACAAAGUGCUGUGGGCCACAUAAAACCAUGAGGCUGUUUCGGGCAGCACUGAGCAGGGCACAGAGAGGACUCAAGGUUGGGCCUGUGAGGAGGGAAGCCCCACUGGAAGCAGGGUGUUAGAAGGAAUAGGAAGUAUACAUGUGGUGGAGCCCACAGUAUGAAACUGAAAUGUACAAAGAAGAAAAGUCACUCAUAGUCUCACUAGCCAGAAGUAAAUUGGUAUUAACAAGGUAAAACAAUAUUAACAAUUAUAUCUAGUUCUUUCUGACCUUCCUUUUUAUUUUACUGUGUAUAUUUUUCUUCUAUUUAUUUUAUAAAUUGUGAUAUUACUAUACACAAAAAUUUGUAUAUUUUUUACAUGAAUAUUAUAGACUAAUCAUGUUGAUGGUUUAUCAAACAGCUCUCAGAAACCUUUGUUAAUUCAACAAGUAUUUAUGUUUUGUUUUGUUUUGUUUUUUGGUGCUGGGGAUUGAACUCGGGUCCUUGUCAACAAGUAUUUAUGAAGUACCUACCAUGCCUCAGGCAUGGGCUCUUUCCAUGGCAUUUUCAAUCAAGUGAAGCACAUUGGACAGGUGUUGGGAGCAGAGAGCACGUGGAAAAUUCUUGCCUGCUUUUCAACAUCCACCCAAGAAGUAAUCAUUGGGCAAAACUGACCACCAGGCCUCAUCUCACUGCAAGGGGGCUGAAGAAUGACAGAAGACAAAGCUCCAGCUGGCAGAGAAAGAUGAAUGUGAGAGAAGGAAAAGUUUUAUCUAAGCCUGGAACCCAAGAAGAGAACCUCUGCCUGCCCAAAUCAGAUCAACACAAAUCUAUAUUUUCAAAAAACCUAAAGCAAGGAAAAUGUUAGCUUUAUAAACUCCACUUUGGAAAAGUUUUAGAACAGACCUUAUUAUAGAGUUCCACUAAGGCACCUGGUAUGGUAUUUCAUAUGGAAUUUGAUUCACAGAACUUUUAAUUUCAUCAGUAAAAUGUUAUUAACAACUCCCAUCUUGUAAGGCAUCAAAAGUUUUUAAAACAUGGUGUCCAAUCAAAAUUACAUCUGUCUGUAGGUUCCUUAAGGUUCUCCAAAUCACUAGGAAUACAGAGGCCCCUGUCUGUUCAAAUCAGGAAAAUGUGAGACCCUUUUCAUAAAGGAGAAACUGACAUUAGAGUAAGAAUUGGAGCCCAGACCUGGGAAGUUGUCAACCCUCUCUAUGGCCAAGAGGAAGAAGUGUGUGGGACCUGGUCAGUUACAGAACUUUUUCAGUUCUGAAUCUCACAUCCUUUCUUCAGUAGGCAUCCAUAGAAGGGAAUUGCUUCUGUGAGCGAGAGGCCAGGGUUCAUUCAAGGAGCAAACUCUCUUCCUCUUUUAUCUUGUCCAGGGAUGCCCAAAGGACCUGCCCUCUGCUGAUAUCUACAAAAGAUGAUAUUUUCAAAAUGUCCAAGAGUCUCUGAUCUGUGUGUUCAGCAGGAUAACCAAGCUACUGCCUAUCAGAGCAGGGGGCCUAACACCCCUUCCAUUACUGGUUGGCUCUGAUUAUCUUGAGGCUGCCAUGCUUUGAAGAAGUCAAACCACAUAGAGAAAUCAUCAGUGUUGGCCCCAGUGCCAAAGGUGUGAGUGAGGAGCCUUCAGACAACUCCAGCCCCCAUCCCCUGCCUGGGAGCCCACUCAGCUGGAGCACCAGAC